AUUCAUCUGAUUAGUCUCAAAUAGGACGAAAUGAACAUCUUGGAU
Molecule: non-coding RNA, 45 nt
Filed under: Schistosoma curassoni
Lineage: Eukaryota; Metazoa; Platyhelminthes; Trematoda; Strigeidida; Schistosomatidae
Source: RNAcentral